GCCUUCGUGGUGUAGUGGUCAGCACACUCGAUGCGUAAUCGAGAGGUCCGUGGUUCGAAUCCCGAUGAGGGCC
This 73-nucleotide transfer RNA is filed under the name Stegodyphus mimosarum. It matches the Rfam family "tRNA". Rfam says of the family: Transfer RNA (tRNA) molecules are approximately 80 nucleotides in length. Their secondary structure includes four short double-helical elements and three loops (D, anti-codon, and T loops). Lineage: Eukaryota; Metazoa; Arthropoda; Arachnida; Araneae; Eresidae. The record is from Rfam by way of RNAcentral.